Molecule: transfer RNA, 76 nt
Filed under: Lentisphaeria bacterium
Lineage: Bacteria; Pseudomonadati; Lentisphaerota; Lentisphaeria
Description: tRNA-Cys
Rfam family: tRNA
About the family: Transfer RNA (tRNA) molecules are approximately 80 nucleotides in length.
Source: RNAcentral
GGCGUGGUACUCAAAGGGUUAAGGGAGCGGUUUGCAAAACCGCGAUGUAUGGGUUCGAAUCCCAUCCACGCCUCCA